RNAcentral lists this long non-coding RNA (412 nucleotides) under Glycine max (soybean). Its description in RNAcentral is "long non-coding RNA (GMAX_LNC003542)". Lineage: Eukaryota; Viridiplantae; Streptophyta; Magnoliopsida; Fabales; Fabaceae. The record is from RNAcentral.
UUUUAUGCAAAUAUUCAAUACAAAACUUAGUCGUAAAUAGCGACUAACAACAACCACCACUAUCUUCGCUGCCACCACUCGUCGCCAUUGUCACCGUCGCAACCAUCAUUACUGUCAUUUUCGUCACGACAACCACCACCAUUAUUGCCGCCGCUACCAUCAUCACUGCUAUUGCGAUCAUCACUGCAACUACCACCAUCACUGUCACUGUCAUCAUCGUCGCUGCCACCAUCCCCUAUCGUUAUCUGGUUCAUACCAUGGUGUGCACCAAACAUUAGAUAGGAUUAAGACUUAUUUUAUUCUUAUCCUAUGAUAUUCUUUUCUUAUUGGUAUAUUCUAUCUUAUUCUAUCGUGUCCUCACCACCAAGAGAGCCCUAAAUAGAAAAGUUAAUAAAUAAUAACCCUACAUGUG